This 816-nucleotide ribosomal RNA is filed under the name Sporothrix fusiformis. RNAcentral describes it as "LSU rRNA". It matches the Rfam family "Eukaryotic large subunit ribosomal RNA", at positions 39 to 887 of the family's 3401-position model. Lineage: Eukaryota; Fungi; Ascomycota; Sordariomycetes; Ophiostomatales; Ophiostomataceae. The record is from RNAcentral.
CAUAUCAUAAGCGGAGGAAAAGAAACCAACAGGGAUUGCCCCAGUAACGGCGAGUGAAGCGGCAACAGCUCAAAUUUGAAAUCUGGCCCCCCGGCCCGAGUUGUAAUUUGGAGAGGAUGCUUUUGGCGCGGCGCCGUCCGAGUUCCUUGGAACAGGACGCCACAGAGGGUGAGAGCCCCGUACGGACGGACGCCUAGCCUCUACAAAGCUCYUUCGACGAGUCGAGUAGUUUGGGAAUGCUGCUCAAAAUGGGAGGUAAAUUUCUUCUAAAGCUAAAUACCGGCCAGAGACCGAUAGCGCACAAGUAGAGUGAUCGAAAGAUGAAAAGCACUUUGAAAAGAGGGUUAAAAAGUACGUGAAAUUGUUGAAAGGGAAGCGCCUGUGACCAGACUUGCGCCCCGUGGACCAUCCGGCGUUCUCGCCGGUGCACUCUGCGGGGCGCAGGCCAGCAUCGGUUCUCCUAGGGGGAUAAAGGCCGCGGGAACGUAGCUCCUUCGGGAGUGUUAUAGCCCGUGGUGGCAUGCCCCUGGGGGGACCGAGGACCGCGCUUCGGCAAGGAUGCUGGCGUAAUGGUCACCAGCGACCCGUCUUGAAACACGGACCAAGGAGUCAAGCAUUGGGGCGAGUGUAUGGGUGCCAAACCCGCACGCGAAAUGAAAGUAAACGCAGGUGAGAGCUUCGGCGCAUCAUCGACCGAUCCUGAUGUCUUCGGAUGGAUUUGAGUAAGAGCCUUACCGCUUGGACCCGAAAGAUGGUGAACUAUGCCUGAAUAGGGUGAAGCCAGAGGAAACUGUGGUGGAGGCUCGCAGCGGUUCU